RNAcentral lists this transfer RNA (76 nucleotides) under Pseudomonas savastanoi pv. glycinea str. race 4. RNAcentral's name for it is "tRNA-Lys". It matches the Rfam family "tRNA". From Rfam's summary of the family: Transfer RNA (tRNA) molecules are approximately 80 nucleotides in length. Their secondary structure includes four short double-helical elements and three loops (D, anti-codon, and T loops). Lineage: Bacteria; Pseudomonadati; Pseudomonadota; Gammaproteobacteria; Pseudomonadales; Pseudomonadaceae. The record is from RNAcentral.
GGGUCGUUAGCUCAGUUGGUAGAGCAGUUGGCUUUUAACCAAUUGGUCGUAGGUUCGAAUCCCACACGACCCCCCA